CCAGACUCCUACGGGAGGCAGCAGUGAGGAAUAUUGGUCAAUGGGCGCGAGCCUGAACCAGCCAAGUCGCGUGAGGGAGGACGGCCCUACGGGUUGUAAACCUCUUUUGCCGGGGAGCAACGGGCGUCACGUGUGGCGCCACUGAGAGUACCCGGAGAAAAAGCAUCGGCUAACUCCGUGCCAGCAGCCGCGGUAAUACGGAGGGUGCGAGCGUUAAUCGGAAUUACUGGGCGUAAAGCGCUCGUAGGCGGUAUGUCAAGUCAAGGGUGAAAUCCCCGCGCUCAACGUGGGAACUGCCUUUGAAACUGGCAAACUGGAGUGUGUGAGAGGAUAGUGGAAUUCCAGGUGUAGGAGUGAAAUCCGUAGAUAUCUGGAGGAACAUCAGUGGCGAAGGCGACUAUCUGGCACAUAACUGACGCUGAGGAGCGAAAGCGUGGGUAGCAAACAGGAUUAGAUACCCGAGUA
RNAcentral lists this ribosomal RNA (465 nucleotides) under uncultured bacterium. RNAcentral's name for it is "bacterial SSU rRNA". It matches the Rfam family "Bacterial small subunit ribosomal RNA", at positions 331 to 792 of the family's 1533-position model. The record is from RNAcentral.